CGAUUCGCCCUUCGGGGUGCCCAGGCGCGAAAACUUUACAAUGCGGGAAACCGUGAUAAGGGAACUCCGAGUGCCCGUAAAAUCGGGCUGUCCAUCUGUUUAAAUAACAGGUGAAGAAAGGGCCGGGCAAGACCGGUGCCAGCCGCCGCGGUAAUACCGGCGGCUCGAGUGGUGGCCACUAUUACUGGGCUUAAAGCGUUCGUAGCUGGUCUGUUAAGUCUCUGGGGAAAUCUACUGGCUUAACCAAUAGGCGUUUCAGGGAUACUGGCAGACUAGGGACCGGGAGAGGUGAGGGGUACUCCAGGGGUAGGAGUGAAAUCCUGUAAUCCUUGGGGGACCACCUGUGGCGAAGGCGCCUCACCAGAACGGCUCCGACAGUGAGGGACGAAAGCUGGGGGAGCAAACCGGAUUAGAUACCCGGGUAGUCCCAGCCGUAAACGAUGCGCGUUAGGUGUAUCGGUGACCACGAGUCACCGAGGUGCCGAAGAGAAAUUGUGAAACGUGCCGCCUGGGAAGUACGGUCGCAAGGCUGAAACUUAAAGGAAUUGGCGGGGGAGCAC
This 560-nucleotide ribosomal RNA is filed under the name uncultured archaeon. RNAcentral's name for it is "bacterial SSU rRNA". It matches the Rfam family "Archaeal small subunit ribosomal RNA", at positions 314 to 879 of the family's 1478-position model. The record is from RNAcentral.